CUAUUUACCUGGCAGGGGCUACACUGUGAUCACAAAGGUGGUUUCCCUAGAUCAUGAUUUCUUCAUUGGCUUCUGGAUGUGCUGACCAGCAACGUCCUCCACUGUGGGAAACUUGAUUGCAUAAUUUAUGUUAGUGGGGGGCUGCGUUCACAUUCUCCUC
Nannospalax galili (Upper Galilee mountains blind mole rat) is the source of this 160-nucleotide small nuclear RNA. Its record names the gene U1. It matches the Rfam family "U1 spliceosomal RNA". From Rfam's summary of the family: U1 is a small nuclear RNA (snRNA) component of the spliceosome (involved in pre-mRNA splicing). Its 5' end forms complementary base pairs with the 5' splice junction, thus defining the 5' donor site of an intron. The record is from Ensembl. Lineage: Eukaryota; Metazoa; Chordata; Mammalia; Rodentia; Spalacidae.